UAGAUAAAAUGUGUUUUUCAGAAGCCUUGUCUUGAUGAUUAGUGGUAUAGUGACAUAAAAGAUUGAGAAUGACUGAUGUGAAGAAGACUAAACGAAGUAACUCGACCAAGCUGCUAGGAAUGCUGGGUAAACAAGACCGUAGGACCAGCAGAGAGGAGAGCAGGACGAGUAGGGAGGACGAGGAUGAGAACCAAGAUUCAGAAACUCCAGAUGUUCUCCCGAUCCUACGAGGCUCCGCUAAGAAAAAGGAACAGUCCUCAACCAACGGUAUCGUGA
Long non-coding RNA from Eurytemora carolleeae, 276 nucleotides. RefSeq lists it as uncharacterized. The record is from RefSeq and is a predicted model, not a curated record. NCBI's taxonomy places the organism in Eukaryota, Metazoa, Arthropoda, Copepoda, Calanoida, Temoridae. The transcript is spliced from 3 exons.